RNAcentral lists this ribosomal RNA (460 nucleotides) under uncultured bacterium. Its description in RNAcentral is "partial 16S ribosomal RNA". It matches the Rfam family "Bacterial small subunit ribosomal RNA", at positions 338 to 795 of the family's 1533-position model. The record is from RNAcentral.
CCUACGGGCGGCAGCAGUGAGGAAUAUUGGUCAAUGGCCGGAAGGCUGAACCAGCCAUGCCGCGUGAAGGUCAGUGCCCUAUGGGCGUUAAACUUCUUUUGUGCGGGAGCAAUAAUGGUCACGUGUGGCCAGACGAGAGUACCGUACGAAUAAGCAUCGGCUAACUCCGUGCCAGCAGCCGCGGUAAUACGGGGGAUGCAAGCGUUAUCCGGAUUUAUUGGGUUUAAAGGGUGCAUAGGCUGUGAGGUAAGUCAGCGGUGAAAUGCCCCCGCUCAACGGGGUGAAGGGCCAUUGAUACUGGCGUGCUGGAAUGCGGAUGCCGUGGGAGGAAUGUGGGGUGUAGCGGUGAAAUGCAUAGAUAUCACACAGAACACCGAUUGCGAAGGCAUCUCACGAAUCCGCGAUUGACGCUGAUGCACGAAAGCGUGGGUAUCAAACAGGAUUAGAUACCCCAGUAGUC